AAGGUAGCAUAAUCAUUUGCCUUUUAAAUGGAGGCUGGUAUGAAUGGCAAGACGGAGAUUUAGCUGUCUCUCUCUUAGAAUUUUGAAGUUAAUUUUUUUGUGAAGAAGCAAAAAUUUAAUCGUAGGACGAGAAGACCCUAUCGAGCUUAAAUAAAAAAGUAUAUGUUUGUAAUAUGUUUUUUGUGUUAAUUUCCCUUUAAAAAGGGUAUAGUUUUAUUUAAAAGGCAUAAGAUUAUUAUAUUUUUUAUUUAGAUUGGGGCAAUCGCGGAAGAAAUAAAGCUUUCGUUGUGAGUAAGUUAAAAAGUGACAUCUUUAAAGAAUAGUAGAUUGUAAAGUUAAAAUGACCCACUUUUUGAAGUGAGUAAAGGAAUAAGUUACCGUAGGGAUAACAGCGUAAUUUUUUUGGAGAGUUCAUAUUGAUAAAAGAGUUUGCGACCUCGAUGUUGGAUCGGGACUUCCGGGGGAUGCAGCAGUUCCCAAAGGUUGGUCUGUUCGACCAUUAAAGUCCUACGUGAUCUGA
Molecule: ribosomal RNA, 520 nt
Filed under: Porcellanaster cf. ceruleus NHM_253
Lineage: Eukaryota; Metazoa; Echinodermata; Asteroidea; Paxillosida; Porcellanasteridae
Description: partial 16S ribosomal RNA
Rfam family: Bacterial large subunit ribosomal RNA
Source: RNAcentral